This is a non-coding RNA of Physella acuta, 82 nucleotides long. The record is from the annotation of a RefSeq genome assembly. NCBI's taxonomy places the organism in Eukaryota, Metazoa, Mollusca, Gastropoda, Physidae.
GUAGUGUUGGCCGAGUGGUUAAGGCGUGUGACUUAAGAUCACAUAGGGAUUCCCUACACGGGUUCGAAUCCCGUACACUACG